UACGAAGGGGGCUAGCGGUGUUCGGCUUUACGGGGCGUAAAGCGCACGUAGGCGGACUCUUAAGUCAGGGGUGAAAUCCCGGGGCUCAACCUCGGAACUGCCUUUGAUACUGUGAGUCUCGAGACCGGAAGAGGUGAGUGGAAUUCCUAGUGUAGAGGUGAAAUUCGUAGAUAUUAGGAAGAACACCAGUGGCGAAGGCGGCUCACUGGUCCGGUUCUGACGCUGAGGUGCGAAAGCGUGGGGAGCAAACAGG
RNAcentral lists this ribosomal RNA (253 nucleotides) under uncultured bacterium. Its description in RNAcentral is "partial 16S ribosomal RNA". It matches the Rfam family "Bacterial small subunit ribosomal RNA", at positions 524 to 776 of the family's 1533-position model. The record is from RNAcentral.